GUUUCCUAUUUUAUUUAUUUGACGCUUGGUUUCAUAUAUAACAUUGUCUGACCAAACUUGUUUAAAUUUCCUUUUCUUUUUCCUCCUCUUAGUUUUUGGAGUUGCUUUACAAAAAAGGCUUGAAAUAUUAUCUAAAAUUUUUGUCAAUUUUUCUGUAGCCUCAUCAACACCAACCUGAUUUUCCUCGUAAUUAACCAUUUCAAACUCUAUUAUCUCAUUCUUUACAUUUUCAGUCAAUAAAGCAUCAAUAAGUUUAAGUUUAGAAUUUUCUGACCAUUUAUAUGAUUUAAUCCAGUGCCAACCUUUUUCCUCAAGGCCAAUUUCUUUAUCUAUAUUUAUAGAGCACUUCAUAUAUAAAGUAAUUUGAACAUGAUCUGAUAGGUAAGUAAAAUCGUUUGUUUUAAAAUAUUUGACUGAGGACAGGAGACUCUCGCUAACAACAGCAUAAUCAACAGUACUAAAUCCACUGCUUGACAUAUAUGUAUAAUAUCCCAAUGAGUCACCUAAAAAUCGACCAUUGAG
Molecule: long non-coding RNA, 522 nt
Filed under: Mytilus galloprovincialis (Mediterranean mussel)
Lineage: Eukaryota; Metazoa; Mollusca; Bivalvia; Mytilida; Mytilidae
Source: RNAcentral